CUCUCUCUCUCUCUCUCUCUAAAUGCUGGCUAAAAAUAAUGGCAUCUGCCAACACAUUAAAAUUCCAUAGAAUCUGUUUAUAACUGAAACAAGGUGAAAAGCCAUGAAAUGUGUAUAACAAGCCAGAUAAGUAAUCAAUUACAAAUAUUCGCAAGGACUUGUGAAAAAGAACAUGAGCAGUUUUUUGGCCCAAGAGUAGCCAGUAGGUGAAGUGUACAACAAUUCAAUGGCGGGAGGGUAUUCACAUGAGCUCAACCUGCCUUAUAUCUCAAAACUUCCUUGGCUUGGCUAAUUAAGGUGUUCAGACUAUAGCCUUAAGAAAGAAAAAAGAAGAGACAAGCACAAAGGGAAAAGAAGGGCAGGAAAGAGGAAAAGCAAGUUUAGGAACUGCUGAGGGAGAAAAGGCAAGUUGAAACAAGAAUAUCCAUUGACAACAACAAUGCAAUGAAAUCUGGCUUCCAUAUGCACCAAAACUAGCUCACAGUUCCAAGAAUCAAUAGUGAUCAUCUAUUGGGCCUAUAGGAGAGAGAUGAAUCUUAAUCCAGCAUAAAACUUUUAAAGCAAAUUCAGAAAUACUCACAUUUCUUCUUCUGGUUCAUUUUUGAGAGCAUUCUUGGCAAUACACUGGAAAGCAGCUUCUACAUUGAAACCCUCCUUUGCAGAAGUUUCGAAAUAAGGAAUAUCUCCCUUGGAGGCACACCAUGCCUUAGCUUUCUUCUCAGAUACCACACGACUAUUGCCACCAUCGACAUCUAUCUUGUUCCCCAGUACAACAAAUGGGAAGUUUUCAGGAUCAGAAGGGCUGGCCUGAAUAUUAACAGGGAAAAAAAAGUGAUAAGAUGGAAUAAGAGAUUGUCACAUGAUAAUGGCAUUAAUCAUACCUGAAUCAGAAACUCCUCUCGCCAGUUGUUAAGGUUUUCAAAUGAUUUCAUUACAUUCACAUCAUAGACAAGAACACAACAGUCUGCCCCACGGUAAAAUGCCACUCCAAGGCUUUGAAAUCUUUCCUGCCCAGCUGUGUCCCAUAUCUGCAAUGUAAAAAGCCUAUCCUCAAACUGAACUUCUUUAGUCAAGAAAUCAGCCCCAAUUGUUGCUUUGUACUGAUUACUGAACUUGCGAUUCACAUACUGAUUCAUGAGAGAUGUCUUCCCAACCCCGCUAUCACCGAGGAUAAUGACUUUAAGAAGCAUCCGUCUCCGAGAAGCCAUUAUUGGAUUCGAAAGCUAAAUUUGGAUUCUGUGUUACAAAAACAGGAAGACAAUACUUCUUGUAACUUCUUCUUUAGAUUAUUUAAUGUACCUUUUUUCAAUCAAAAUAAAAAAUAUAUGAAGUGAUUCGAUUGAACGACCGAAAUCAUUUGGAUGAUCAUUUCAGGAC
This 1377-nucleotide unclassified non-coding RNA is filed under the name Hevea brasiliensis (rubber tree). The record is from RNAcentral. Lineage: Eukaryota; Viridiplantae; Streptophyta; Magnoliopsida; Malpighiales; Euphorbiaceae.